CAUUUACGGAGAGUUUGAUCCUGGCUCAGGACGAACGCUGGCGGCGUGCUUAACACAUGCAAGUCGAACGAUGAAGCCCAGCUUGCUGGGUGGAUUAGUGGCGAACGGGUGAGUAACACGUGAGUAACCUGCCCCUGACUCUGGGAUAAGCGCUGGAAACGGCGUCUAAUACUGGAUAGGACCUGGCCCUGCAUGGGGUUUGGUGGAAAGGGUUUACUGGUUGGGGAUGGACUCGCGGCCUAUCAGCUUGUUGGUGAGGUAAUGGCUCACCAAGGCGACGACGGGUAGCCGGCCUGAGAGGGUGACCGGCCACACUGGGACUGAGACACGGCCCAGACUCCUACGGGAGGCAGCAGUGGGGAAUAUUGCACAAUGGGCGAAAGCCUGAUGCAGCAACGCCGCGUGGGGGAUGACGGCCUUCGGGUUGUAAACCUCUUUUGUCAAGGAAGAAGCCUUCGGGUGACGGUACUUGGAGAAAAAGCACCGGCUAACUACGUGCCAGCAGCCGCGGUAAUACGUAGGGUGCGAGCGUUGUCCGGAAUUAUUGGGCGUAAAGAGCUCGUAGGCGGUUUGUCGCGUCUGCUGUGAAAUCCCGAGGCUCAACCUCGGGCCUGCAGUGGGUACGGGCAGACUAGAGUGCGGUAGGGGAGAUUGGAAUUCCUGGUGUAGCGGUGGAAUGCGCAGAUAUCAGGAGGAACACCGAUGGCGAAGGCAGAUCUCUGGGCCGUAACUGACGCUGAGGAGCGAAAGGGUGGGGAGCAAACAGGCUUAGAUACCCUGGUAGUCCACCCCGUAAACGUUGGGAACUAGAUGUGGGGGCCUUUCCACGGUCUCCGUGUCGCAGCUAACGCAUUAAGUUCCCCGCCUGGGGAGUACGGCCGCAAGGCUAAAACUCAAAGGAAUUGACGGGGGCCCGCACAAGCGGCGGAGCAUGCGGAUUAAUUCGAUGCAACGCGAAGAACCUUACCAAGGCUUGACAUAUACGGGAACGCCCUAGAAAUAGGGUUCUCUUUGGACACUCGUAUACAGGUGGUGCAUGGUUGUCGUCAGCUCGUGUCGUGAGAUGUUGGGUUAAGUCCCGCAACGAGCGCAACCCUCGUUCUCUGUUGCCAGCACGUAAUGGUGGGAACUCAGGGGAUACUGCCGGGGUCAACUCGGAGGAAGGUGGGGAUGACGUCAAAUCAUCAUGCCCCUUAUGUCUUGGGCUUCACGCAUGCUACAAUGGCCAGUACAAUGGGCGGCGAUACCGUGAGGUGGAGCGAAUCCCAAAAAGCUGGUCCCAGUUCGGAUCGUAGUCUGCAACUCGACUACGUGAAGUCGGAGUCGCUAGUAAUCGCAGAUCAGCAACGCUGCGGUGAAUACGUUCCCGGGCCUUGUACACACCGCCCGUCAAGUCAUGAAAGUCGGUAACACCCGAAGCCGGUGGCCUAACCCCUUGUGGGAGGGAGCUGUCGAAGGUGGGACCGGUAAUUAGGACUAAGUCGUAACAAGGUAGCCGUACCGGAAGGUGCGGCUGGAUCACCUCCUUUCU
RNAcentral lists this ribosomal RNA (1531 nucleotides) under Paramicrobacterium humi. RNAcentral's name for it is "bacterial SSU rRNA". It matches the Rfam family "Bacterial small subunit ribosomal RNA". Lineage: Bacteria; Bacillati; Actinomycetota; Actinomycetes; Micrococcales; Microbacteriaceae. The record is from RNAcentral.